Molecule: long non-coding RNA, 3278 nt
Organism: Brachypodium distachyon (stiff brome)
Lineage: Eukaryota; Viridiplantae; Streptophyta; Magnoliopsida; Poales; Poaceae
Exons: 3
Source: RefSeq, a predicted model, not a curated record
CGUACAAAGCUAGUAUACAUGAAAUCCGAUCGUCAAAGGCACAUAAAUCUUACCGCAGAUACAUGGAAGCAUAUCUUUACCCCUGUGAAAGGGCGAAGAAAUCACCCGUGUGAAAGUGAUCGGUUCGGGGGUGUGUUCGGGUGUGUUCUGGGCUUCUGGCACCCUCGGCCUUGCUCUGCUCCCGGCCGUCGUCCUCGCCCAGCACCUGCUGUCCGGAUCCUCAACCGCCGCCGUCCCCUGGCCCUGCAGAUCUUCCUCCACGAUGUCGGUGCUCGAGGCUCCAGCCCCUGGCCGGCCGCGUAGAGCGCGGAGAUAUUUCUGCCUCCAGCUUGAUGGGAGGCUUGUGAGUCACGACGACCGUUGGAAGGAGAUGAGGCGUGCGGCGGUGGGAAGGAGACGAGCCUCGGCGCUGAUCCCCGCCGCCGUCCUUCGCGGGAUUUCAACGUUGACUCGCCCUUGAACCUCGCCUCACCUCUCUGUUCCAUUCGCUAGGCACUUCCCUCCUUGAUUUUCGCUCAACACCCCUGCAUCUCUGUUGGAUGACGCAGGCACUGCCGCACCAAGGAAUCCGGCCGGUAACGACCUCUGACAUCCAGGCGACGGCAAGCGAUUCAGGAUUUUGUCCGUCCUAUCCAAAUUAGUUGUCUUGCAGAGGAAAAUGGUCAUGGAAUUGUCAAAUGCUAACCCUGUGGUUCAUGAGAAAAAAAGAGAGGCGCAUUUGGCUGCCACUAGAAAAUACAUAUGAAAAUGCAGCAGAGCCUAUAGACCAGCUAGAAAUAUUUUAUAUCCUCUUUCUUGGUUUUUCUGCAUGUAUGUAGGUGUAGCUUGCUUUCAUGGUAUAUGUUAUUAAUCCGGGGUCCUGCUAGCAUAAUAAUUUUGUACUCAUUUACAAUCUUACAUCAGAUUAGAGAUGUAAAGGACCCGGAGCAUCCAUAUUCAUUGGAAGAACUUAAUGUGGUAAUUGAAGUAUCAAUGAUGAACUUAGUAAUGUCAGGUAAGUUGAAAUCUAUCUACUGAAACUUUGAUGCUACAGUUCAGGAUUUUUAAUGAAAUCUAUCUAUUGGAACCUUGGAUGCUACAUGUCAGGUAACACUUCAUGUUAGAUUUCACCAUGUCCCUCUAAUGUAACAUAGGAAAGCCAUACUCAUGCGAUGAUGGACAAAUAAUCUCUCUGUCAUGUAUGUUACUCCUUGAUUGUGCAUACUCAUUUGUCAAAAAAAGUAGAGUCUAUAAAUUUGUUUUAUUAUACUUUCACACAGCCCCGUUCCCCACCUGCACAACUGCAUCCUACUCCUUCCAUCUUCCUUUCUUGAAACUCGGUAGUAUCUCAUUCUGUUGUUAAUUUACAAGUUCGAUUCGCUAUUGACAUUGCCGUAUCCGAGGAGGAAUUGCUGUAGACUGGUGUCUUCGCCAAAGAAGGGGAAGGACCGCUUGAUGACCAGUCCAUCAAUGUCGGCGUGUGCAGGAAGGCGGGUUCAAAAAGGUUUAAUUAAUUUGUGGUAAUAUGAUCGGUGCGUGCUCUGCUCAUUUUAGUUAUUUUGUUUUAGAUCGAUCUUCCAUGCAUGUAGUCAGACUAUUUAACUGCCCUCUGUUGAUUUGAUUCUUUAUAGUAAAUAAUCAUUUUCUCUCUUUGGUUUGAUUCUUUAAAGUGGAUAAUAUCGGAACGCUUCUAAUGAGGAGGUUGAAAGGAAAUACUGCUCCUACAAGCCUACAUUAUGAUCAUGUAGUGAGGGCCAGUUACAAGGCACAGAUCAGUGAAUCUGAACAAUAUUCUUUAUUGAACUGUGAGAACCAGAAUAAAUAUCUAGAACCAAUUGUAAUGAGUAAUAAGCCAACAACAGAACAAGCAUAUGUCUCCUUGAAUCUUAGAAAGCCAAUCAAAAGAAGAGUAAAAUAAUUAAUUGAAUUCAAUGCAAAAGCUUUUAGUUACUAUGUACUGUAACAUCGAGGAAAUUCUAAUGUCUUAUUUUGAACUACAUGCAACAACAGAUAGUGAUUGAUCCUGUAAUGCUGACCUUAGGAAAAAAAUUAAAAUCUUGCAUUUUCUGCUAUUUGCAAUGCCAAUGCCAAUGCCAAAAUAGAGCUUGUACCUGCUAUUCAUGUUGAUAAGAAAAGAUGCAAUGCUACUUUUUAUCUAGCUUUUUGGAAGUUGAAUAAUUGGAAAGCAAAACAUGAUAUGUGAUUGUUGAUUACAUUGUUGCUUUUUUGUCCCUAUCUCUCUACUGAUCUUUACCUGGUUAUGUGAUGUGAAAAGUAAUUCAAUAUAAUGUGCUAUUUUUAUUACUGACUUAGGUUGGCAUGUCUAACAUUCUUCUACUGGUUCACGACACUGAGAAUGUGAGCCAUGGGUCAAGUUUGAGGCAAGUGUGUGGAUCCAGUUUAAAGAGAUUAGGCACGAGAAGGGGGCUGCUGUCAAAGGUGUGGUUUUUGGAGGGUGGAUUUAUGGUUACGAUGCAUCGUACGGCAUCAUGCCUGAUCUGACAUCGAUUCAAGAUCACAGUGUACAAGAUAUGCUCCAGGAGCGUCACCAGCACUCGGUUUUCUUGCAGAACCACCUGGAGCGAGCUCGUCUUCGCAUGAAGAAUAUGGCAGAUCGUCAUCGUACUGACCGAUCUUUUCAAGUGGGUGACAAGGUUCUUCUUAAACUGCAACCAUAUACACAAUCCUCAGUGGUGAGUCGUCCCUGUCCUAAACUUUCAUAUAAGUUCUAUGGGCCUUUCGAAGUGGAGGCGCGAGUUGGAUCAGUGGCAUACCGACUCAAGUUGCCACUUUCUAGCAUGGUGCAUCCAGUUUUCCACAUUUCGCAAUUGAAACCAUUCAUUCCGAAGUAUACAGCAGAGUCAAAUGAACUACCAAACCCAAUUGUGUUGGACGCUGCUGAGCUGGUUCCUGAAGCAAUUCUCGAACGCCGUCUGAUCAAAAAGGGAACAAGGCCUAUCUUCAAGUCAGAAUCAAGUGGACUACUCUUCCAGCUACUUCUUCAACAUGGGAGGACUACGAGGUGCUCAAGUCCAGUUUCCCUGGAUGCCCCAGCCUGGAGACCAGCUGGUUCUCAAGGGGGGAGGGGUGGGUGGGACAAUGUUACAUCUGACGAGCCUCCGUCUGAUGCAACAAGUACAGUUUAAUUGUCUUCAGUUUUGCUUGGCCUGUCCAGUUUCUUUAAGUAUGUAACUUAGCGUUUGGGCCUGAGGAGGCUGUUGGGCUUUGACUACUAAGAGGUAGCUUGCUAACCUGAGAACGUUAUCGAUGAAAAGAAAUGAAACAACGCUCUCUCCCGA